GACAGAGGUUGCAAACGUUGUUCGGAAUUACUGGGCAUAAAGCGCACGUAGGUGGUCCGCUAAGUCGAUUGUGAAAUUCCCCGGCUCAACCGGGGAACGGCACUCGAUACUGGCGGGCUUGAGGUCCGGAGGGGUGAGUGGAACUCCUGGUGGAGCGGUGAAAUGCGUAGAUAUCAGGAGGAACACCGGUGGCGAAGGCGGCAUCCUGGACCGGCAUUGACGCUGAUGAGCGAAAGCUAGGGGAGCAAACGGG
Molecule: ribosomal RNA, 253 nt
Filed under: uncultured bacterium
Lineage: Bacteria
Description: partial 16S ribosomal RNA
Rfam family: Bacterial small subunit ribosomal RNA
Source: RNAcentral